Molecule: long non-coding RNA, 3026 nt
Filed under: Nicotiana benthamiana
Lineage: Eukaryota; Viridiplantae; Streptophyta; Magnoliopsida; Solanales; Solanaceae
Description: long non-coding RNA (NBEN_LNC029503)
Source: RNAcentral
GACACAAGUCAUCUUCCUCGUACAGUCUUUGUAACGCCACCGUUGCCGUUGCCGCCGGAGAAAAUGAUUCAUUCUUCGAUGGCUUCCAUAUUCACACCCUCACACCGCCUCAAUGUCCCCGUCACGAAUCCACCACUAUCAUCUUUCGAAUCCCACUGGAGGUCGUCGAACAAUUGAAAGAGUUGUCCCUGUCUCCGUCGCCCACGGCAGUGACAUCGUCCAAUGACCCCCAAAAUUACACCAUCUCUUCUCCUUCACGUCCCCAUUCCAUAUCUCUCGUUGUUUUCUCUCAAACAUCCGUAGAACGCCUCAAAUCUACCAAACCCUAGGCGUCGCCACCACAGUGCACGGCGGCGCCGCAACCCUAAACCCUCCAAACUCACACCCCACAGUCCCCAUGACUAACUCAACUUGAAUCCCUAACUAAAAUCCAUCGAAUCUCAGUGAAACCCAACGAAUUGCGAAUCUAGGGUUUAUAUGGUUCUGGGUUACUUUUAAAGAUUUUCAAGUCGAUUGAGAUCUAGUUAAUAUUAUAGGUCUAUUUUUGACAAAAUAGAUGUAUAAUAUUAACCGGAAGUCAAUUUCGGAUGUUUUUCUCAUAAGGUCUGAAUUUUAGUAAGUUUUCUUCUCAUUUUUUUAAGUUUUGUUUGAUUCGUGCUUUAUCUGUUUAAUUAGUUGUAGUUUUAAUUUCCAAAUCAUUCUAAUUGGUAGUUUGAUUUUAAUACACGUCUGUCCGUUAAUUGUUAGCUAAUUGUCUAGGAUAAAUUUUAGGUUAAUUUCCAUUUUUUUAGCUCUGAGUUGGUUUAGCUUAAAUGUUCAAUUGUUAGUUUAUUUGUUAAGUGCUAGUUUAAUUUCAAUUAGUUCCAAUUAUUACUCUAGCUGAAUUUCCUUUUGGUUUACCUUGAUUCAAAUGACUUUUGUGAUUCUAAUGAGUAAUUAGCUUUGCAUAUUUGAUCUUCGUUUCCUGAUUUUAAAUCUGUUUGAAUAGUGUUUGUUUGAGUGACUGAAUAAAUAUGAUUGUUAGUUUAAUUGGUUGAUUUUGAUUGUCUUUCAAAUUCAGUAUUCAUUAGUUUGAGUUUCUAUUUAUGUUAAUUAGUCUGUUAUUUUAAGCAAAAUGGUUAUAGUUGCUGGUUUAAUUAGGAUAGAAGAAGAUGCUGAAGUCAUUUGGAUUAGUUUAGGAUAAAGUAGGGAUAAUUGAGGAACGUCAGGGGUAUGGUAGACAGUUUGAGGUGCACAAAAUGUUGCGGGUUAAACUAGAAUAUUCUAGGACCUUCUAAAAUAGGACUUUAGUGCAUAAUUCAGAACUUAGGUGCACUUGUUUGAUCACCAAGCUAAGAAAUAAGGGACUAAUUGAAUAAAUAGAUAGGGGCUGACAUAGAAAACAGAAAAUAAGGAUUUCCCUCAUUUUUGCCUAUAAACGGGCAUGCCCUUUACUUUAUUCACAAGUUUGGAGCCUAAAAAAUUUCCCCCAAAGUGUGUUCUUCAAUUUUCAGAUCUAGGAUUUGAAAUUCAAACUUCAAACUCCAAAAACAAUAGAAAAUAUCCAAAAAAAUCAAAAAUAAAUAAAUAGACUGUUACAUUGAUCAUUUCUCAGGUUGUAGCUCGUAACUCAACUGUUAGUUCAUCUAGAAUCAGAAUUAGAUUAAUUUUUCUUUGUUUAUGUUCUGUGCUCAAGCUUUAAAAAGUGUUUGCAAGUAGCUUGGGGUUCAUUUUCAAGUUAUUAUUGGUGUUUCUCAGCAUUGAUUGGUUUUAUGGAAUUUUUGGGCUCAAUUUCGAGUAUAUAUGGUCUAUUCACGACAUCUAUAUUUGAUUUUCUGGUUUUAUUUUGCUGUGAACUCCUCCUAGAUUAAUGAUCUUAUUUUCUGGGCUAUUAUCUGAUCCUUGUUGUUGCUGUUGCUGGCCUCUCAUUCCUCUCAUUUUAUUUCAGAUUCAGGUACAUGUUCUAAAGCUUUCAAGUCAAUGGAAAUGAAGUAUAGGUAUUUUUUUUUAAGUUGAUCUUAAAUCAUCCUGUUGCUAUUCAAUUUUAACGUGUAAAAUAGUCAGCUUACUGGGAUUUUUAUGUCGUUUGUAUAACUAGAUUAAUGUUGGACUGUAUGACGGACUCCCUGUUAGAUUACGUCAAUUCGAAUCAGUAGCAUUUAAUAUUCAAUUUCUGUAGUUCAAAUUAUACUAUGUUGGACUGUUAAAUUUAGAUUCGAGUUUGUUUAUUAUAGAAUAACAGUCAUAGUGGUUACAAUUUUAGUUUAUAGUCUUAACACAAUUGUUAGUUGCUUAGAGCAAUAGUUCCUGGAAAUCUCUGAGCAUUAAGCGGAAUCAAAUGGUUUGUAAUUUAGAAGGAUUAGUAGGAUUAUCAUUAAAUGAAAGUUUAGUUUAGUCUAACAGAGUUGAUGUCUUAGUUGAGGCAAACAAUUGGGACAAAACUAGAACAAGCUGGAAAUUAGUUAACCUGUGACAUAUUGACCGUCUUAACUCCUUCACUUAUUAACAUCAUGGUUUAAUUCAUAUGGAAUGAUCUUUAGAUUUUCAUUGCUUUGGGUGUAUUAACUUAAAUUGGAAUCCUUUUGGAAAAUUUAACGUUCAGUUGGCUAUACGAACUGAGGACCCUAAGCGUGUUUGGGCUAUAAAUUUUGGCACAAAUCAAAACUUAAAUUUGACUGUAGCCAUACAGAUUUGACAUGAGAUCUUGUGAGGGGUUUGGCUCGUUCAAGCCUUCUACAUGUGGGCUUCCGUUUGGUCCUAGGCCAAGGUCAACAAUUGGCCAAUUUUGUGGUACAAGUCUGGAUGUAAUUUCCCUUCGUUGGGCUUAUCUUAGAACCCAAUAGCCAGACCGUGGUGCGGAAAUAUAAUUUGGUCCCGUAAUGAAUUAAGUAGGACUUUUUCUUUAUUUUUAGAGACAAAUAAAAAUAGAAAAUCAUAGUUUACUUACGUUGGACCUUUAAAUAAAAUAUGAGAUGAGCCUCGUCAAAUGUAAUGCAAAAUUGUGGGGGCCUCAAUAAAUCGGUAUAUUAAAAUAACAUAAAAUUUGG